AUUGAACGCUGGCGGCAGGCCUAACACAUGCAAGUCGAACGAGUGGCGGACGGGUGAGUAAUGUCUGGGCAACUGACCGAUGGAGGGGGAUGACUACUGGAAACGGUAACCAAUACCGCCUAACAUCGGCUCUGCCCAGAUGGGAUUAGCUAGUAGGUGGGGUAACGGCUUACCUAGGCGACGAUCCCUAGCUGGUCUGCGAGGAUGAACAGCCACACGGGGACUGAGACACGGCCCAGACUCCUACGGGAGGCAGCAGUGGGGAAUAUUGCACAAUGGGCGCAAGCCUGAUGCAGCCAUGCCGCGUGUAUGAAGAAGGCCUUCGGGUUGUAAAGUACUUUCAGCAGGAAGGCGUUACCCGCAGAAGAAGCACCGGCUAACUCCGUGCCAGCAGCCGCGGUAAUUC
RNAcentral lists this ribosomal RNA (406 nucleotides) under uncultured bacterium. RNAcentral describes it as "partial 16S ribosomal RNA". It matches the Rfam family "Bacterial small subunit ribosomal RNA", at positions 30 to 526 of the family's 1533-position model. The record is from RNAcentral.